This 900-nucleotide long non-coding RNA is filed under the name Marmota monax (woodchuck). The record is from RNAcentral. Lineage: Eukaryota; Metazoa; Chordata; Mammalia; Rodentia; Sciuridae.
GUUUUGGGUCAAUUUGAUAAGAUAUUAGAAUUUAUAUUAUAAACAAAUAGAAUUUAUAUUAUAUCUCACUACAUAUUUAUGUAUAAUUUGUAAAAGCUUCUUUUGGUAGUCUUAUUAUACUUGUAAAAAUAUAUAUAUAAAUUUUUAUAUAUAAAUAUGUGUAUAUAUAUGUAUGUAUUUAUGUAUCUAUUAGGACUCUACACCAAGUAUUUUCCCCCAAGUAUUCUACAUCAAGUUUUCACCCCUUCUGGACUCAUGGCAGGAUGGCACUUCCUGCCCCCUUGUGGUUCUGGCCAUAGAGCUAUGACUGGGAAUGACAUUUCCCCCAUAGAUUUGGUUUAUAACACAUAUUAUCACACAAAAGUUCAUGUAUAAAUUAAAGUGCUAUCUUGAGAUUUGUAUCUCGUCCAUAGGGGAGCAUCCCUGCUCAUCCCAUUUUGAGCUUAGAUAUUCUCAUAUAAUUCAUAGAGCAGAUGGCAGGUGCAUUUCCUGAAGUAGGGUAGUAGUUCUGCUUUGCCAUUCUGUUCUUGUUCCUUUUCCCCCUCUCUGAUUUUCACAGGUCAAGCAAUCAGAAAAAAAGAUUCUGCAGCAUUCGCGUCCCAGUAGGAUUCCAGCCAGUAUAUCAGUCAUUUAUGGACAUAGGUCUUCAGCAUCAACUGGAACCCCUGCUGUAGAAGCCUAUUUUUCCCAUCAUCCCACUUAUGAAAUCAUAGAAUCUCUCUGUUACAGGAAACUUCUUUCUCUACAUUGAGGGGGAACAAUUUAUAUCAUUGUAUUUUUUUAUAAGAGAGAGAGAGAGGAGAGAGAAUUUUAAUAUUUAUUUUUUAGUUCUCCGCGGACACAACAUCUUUGUUGGUAUGUGGUGCUGAGGAUCGAACCCGGGCCGCACGCAUGCCAGGC